This 1276-nucleotide long non-coding RNA is filed under the name Strigops habroptila (Kakapo). RNAcentral's name for it is "lncRNA (ENSSHBG00005003222.1)". Lineage: Eukaryota; Metazoa; Chordata; Aves; Psittaciformes; Psittacidae. The record is from RNAcentral.
UAAACAACAUGUUGUAGCUGCAUAUUAAUUUUAAAAAAGGAGAAACAUCAAGUUGGAAAUACAAUCACAAGACACAUUUCUUGAACAAAUACCAAACAAUAGGAGAACAAAGCGCAGUCAACCCAUUUCAAAUGUUCUCUGGACAGCAAGGAUGAAGAAAAGCAUCUAUGAAAGCGUCUGUGAAUGCUAUGAACGCCUAGAGCGUUUGACUCCUGUAAUUAUUUCCUAAAUCAGGUAGAGUGCCUAUGUUAGCUAUAUUAACAGUUUAGAUAAAUGACCUGGAAAAAUAAAACACAACAGAGUAGCGUGUGCACCGAGGAGAAAAGGGAACCAACCAACUGAACGGUUUUGACGUUUUUAGAUUAAUUUAUAAUUUAUCUGUAACAAGAGUUGCCUGUAGCAGUAGUUCUUGCAAAUUGCAAGGUCAUCAAAGCUUUCACAUGCCCUUCCGAACAGCAGAUAAUUAAAGGCCUAUCUAAAGCAAACUCAAAACAUGACUUUUGCACGGAAAGGUGUCACUGGUUAGCAAAGCAUUGACAACAGGGUACACAGGGAGAGCUGAAAUGUCCCCAUUUCUGCUGGUACUGGGCUAAUGAAAACUACAAGUCUGUGUCUACAGAUGGCACUUGUUUGCAGACAUUCCAGGGUUUACCCUGGUCUGGAUACUACAUUUUUGUUAUUCUGGCUGAAGCUGGGCCUAAGUCAGACCAUUCUGGAGGAGGUACAUUUGAAGUGUGUUCUGUUCCCUGGAAUACAUUCAUGAGUAUGAACACAUCAUCAGAAUUCACACAGAGAAAAAGCCUGAGCCUGUUACCAUUGCCAGUGGCACACAGCACUAUUGCUGGAAAGUGACAGUAAGAAAAGACCUGUAUUAGGGUAAUUCAUUAGGGUCAUACUUGAUCACUUAUGGACCACAACAACUUUCUACAUCCUUUUAGUCACAUCGGUCACCUUGAAUAAAUAUGGUCACAUAAGAAAGAGUGCCUUUCCUCUUGUACGCUGACAUUUCAGUAGGACUUGCAAGGGCUGGAAAGUUAAGUUUAGCCAAGCUAUGCAAAGGUAUCGACCAAAGAAAUACAUGGGCAUCAUGUGAGUUUAACUUUGCCUUGCUAAUGUCCUACUGCAGACCUUUCGUCAGAUGGCUCCUUAGCUUAGUUUACAGUUUUGGCACUCAGUAGAUCACCGACGAAGUAUGACAGAAACCUCACAGUUUAUGAAAUCAUACAGUCAUCGUACUCAGUAGAAAUACAAUUUUUGGCUACUUUAACAGAUCCAG